CCGGCCUUCCCGGGCGGGCGCGUCUGGGCGCAGCCGGCAACGGCGUGGGAGCGGCUCGCGUUCCCGUCGGCCUUUAUCAGCAGGCGGCAUGGGCAGGCGCUUUCUGAAAAUGCUAGCGGCUGCCGCCGGCGGAACCCCCGCGGGGGCCGGGCUCGCCGCCAAGCGCUGUAGGAGCACUGGCCCUUGAACUGGCACAGCGCGCUGCAGGUGGUACUCAGGUGGCGCCCACGUUCCCGAUGAGCAAUCUGAGGCUUAGAGAAGGGACGUCGUGGCUUCUGAGUCUUCACUGGAGUAAAAGUCUGCUUCACAGAAGCUCCACACCAAGUCGGGGGAGUGUGGCUGGAGAAUCUUUGAGCCAAGCAGCAUCCCACUCUGCUGUCCUCCCCACAGAGGGUCACCAUCUUUCCUGGAAGGGGCCACAGGCCUAACCAGCUCCCCGAUGAUGUCGAUGCUGCUGGUCCAGGGACCACACUUUGAGAACCACCGUGCUGGUCUGUGUUGGGCUGCGAUCCUAGUCAGCCCAUGAAAAAUGGGCACAAAAUACCCUCCUCUUCUACCCUGCCGUGUCCCUCCUCUCCAGCUGGGGUGUUUGUGAUGGUGACUGGCAGAACAGCUGGAUCCCAUCAGCCCCCCUCCUCCAGGCAGAUAUCUGGUCACAUUAGUCCCGCCUGCUACCCCUUCCAGUCCCUGUCACUCCAGAUUAGAGGUGGAGGCAGCUGUGGCAACGCGGAGGGCAGUCUGCAGGCAGCUUCUGGAAUCUCUGCCGUGCUCCCCUGCCAUCUUCUGCAGCCUCAUGAAGGUCUUCCCAUAUGAGCUGGGGCACUGGUCCUAUCCUGCAGAAAUACCCUAACAUGUUCAUAGUGAAAAUUAAGGCCCUCGUACCUUCUAUCUAAACAUCUAACAGACUAAAAUAAAAUGUUUGUUCUCCUGUC
Diceros bicornis minor is the source of this 932-nucleotide long non-coding RNA. RefSeq lists it as uncharacterized. The transcript has 2 exons. The record is from RefSeq and is a predicted model, not a curated record. Lineage: Eukaryota; Metazoa; Chordata; Mammalia; Perissodactyla; Rhinocerotidae.